Balaenoptera acutorostrata (minke whale) is the source of this 759-nucleotide long non-coding RNA. RefSeq lists it as uncharacterized. The record is from RefSeq and is a predicted model, not a curated record. Lineage: Eukaryota; Metazoa; Chordata; Mammalia; Artiodactyla; Balaenopteridae. The transcript is spliced from 4 exons.
UCCGUCUCUCGCCCUCGCGCUGGCCUCUGCCCGCGCUCGGCUCCUUUCUCGCCGUGAGGGUGGGCCGGCGCCUGCAUCACCGUGACAUCACCUCCAUUCAGGGGCUUAUCGGGCGCCCGCGGCGCUCCAGGUCCUGGGCAGCCCAGGAGGAAUGGAUAGAACUUGUUCCCAGCACAUGAAGAAUUUCCGGUGAGCUGCUGUCACUUACUAGCCAAAUGACUGCGGAGCCUGAGGGACAGGAGAAACCAGAGAAUUGGAGAGCAGUAUAUUCAGACCUGACAAUCACAGAAGACCACACAGAUUCCCACUUCACCUUAGCUCUUUGACCUUGAUGAAAAACAUGUUUCCAAUGGACACAGAGCUCCUGAAACACUUUUAAUUUCCUAAGUGAUAGGAGUAUCUUUUGUGAUUCAUAACAAGCCCUUUGGAACACAACUGAGUUGGUGCUGAUGAGGUGACCUAGGGUGGGAUCCCUACAUAGCCUCUGGAUGGGGCUGGUCACCAGGAAGACCAAGCGAGUAGAAGGUUGCAGCUUUCAGCUCCAUCUACCACUGGGGAGCAGAGCUGGAGAUAAGCUGCAGAAAAACUCUUGAACAACAAACUUGAUGAGCUUCUGGAGUGGUGCCUUCACGUGCCAGGAGGACGGUGCACCCCAGAUCCACAGGGAUAGAAGCUCCUGAGCUUGGCACCCUUCGGGACUUCACCCUAUGUACUUCUUCACCUAGUGGUUCAUUUGUAUCCUUUAUAAUGUCUUUUGUA